This 706-nucleotide ribosomal RNA is filed under the name bacterium enrichment culture clone bHCH1_E8. RNAcentral's name for it is "bacterial SSU rRNA". It matches the Rfam family "Bacterial small subunit ribosomal RNA", at positions 49 to 739 of the family's 1533-position model. The record is from RNAcentral.
UAAUGCCAAGUCGGAGCGGAUGACGAGGGAGCUUGCUCCUCAGAUUCAGCGGCGGACGGGUGAGUAACACGUGGGCAACCUGCCUGUAAGACUGGGAUAACUUCGGGAAACCGGAGCUAAUACCGGAUAACUCUUCGGACCACAUGGACUGAAGAUAAAAGAUGGUUCUGCUAUCACUUACAGAUGGGCCCGCGGCGCAUUAGCUAGUUGGUGAGGUAACGGCUCACCAAGGCGACGAUGCGUAGCCGACCUGAGAGGGUGAUCGGCCACACUGGGACUGAGACACGGCCCAGACUCCUACGGGAGGCAGCAGUAGGGAAUCUUCCGCAAUGGACGAAAGUCUGACGGAGCAACGCCGCGUGAGCGAUGAAGGCCUUCGGGUCGUAAAGCUCUGUUGUUAGGGAAGAACAAGUAUCAGUUAACUGCUGGUACCUUGACGGUACCUAACGAGAAAGCCACGGCUAACUACGUGCCAGCAGCCGCGGUAAUACGUAGGUGGCAAGCGUUGUCCGGAUUUAUUGGGCGUAAAGCGCGCACAGGCGGUUCUUUAAGUCUGAUGUGAAAGCCCACGGCUCAACCGUGGAGGGUCAUUGGAAACUGGGGAACUUGAGUGCAGAAGAGGAUAGCGGAAUUCCACGUGUAGCGGUGAAAUGCGUAGAGAUGUGGAGGGAACACCAGUGGCGAAGGCGGGCUCUCUGGUCUGUAA